Rosa chinensis is the source of this 677-nucleotide long non-coding RNA. RefSeq lists it as uncharacterized. The record is from RefSeq and is a predicted model, not a curated record. Lineage: Eukaryota; Viridiplantae; Streptophyta; Magnoliopsida; Rosales; Rosaceae. The transcript is spliced from 3 exons.
GCCAGAAGGAUCGAGAGAGAGAGAAUAGAACCUGGUGCUCUCUGCACCGGACGCCACCGACCCGAGAAAGAAAACCCGGCCAGAACGCCGUCCUCCGGCCACCUCACGACGGCGCAUACCCACCAUUCCCUUCACCUCUGCAUCGCCUACAUCCCAGUAGCUUCUGAUCGCCCAUGCACGGAACGAGGAGGGAGAUGUGGCGGUGAGUGCAGUGACUGCUCUGGCCAGUUUCUGCAAGUUUCCGGCCACCAUUCAAGGUGCAUUCGGCGACUUCUCUGGCCUCUCUUGGUUCGCUCUGCAUUUCGUCUCCACCUGUUGAUGCUUGUCGUUCUAAACUGAAGCUAAAUUCCAAAGAACUGCAAGCUGGUGUUGAACUCCCAGUUCAUCAUCGUCCCUGUUCAAUCGAGCUUGCGCACAGUAGCUCUUGAAGGAUUCCAGUUACCCGAGGAACAGAAGGUUCACGACUCUCGGAGUACGUGAGAGAAAGCAUCGGAAUCCAGGUAGGGAUUCAGGACUCUCCUCGGUUAGUUGUUUCUUUAUAUCUUGUGUUAAAAUAUGCAUGAUGGGUGGUACGGUUUGGUUAUGUUAAAAUGCAAUGCAUACUAACCAAAUUGUGAGAGAUGUGAUGGCUUGAGAGCGAAAGGGGCACUGACUUCCUUGGGUUCGAUCCCCUAAAC